RNAcentral lists this ribosomal RNA (392 nucleotides) under uncultured bacterium. RNAcentral describes it as "bacterial SSU rRNA". It matches the Rfam family "Bacterial small subunit ribosomal RNA", at positions 29 to 418 of the family's 1533-position model. The record is from RNAcentral.
AAUGAACGCUGGCGGCGUGGAUUAGGCAUGCAAGUCGAACGCGAAAGUUCCCUUCGGGGAGCGAGUAGAGUGGCGAAAGGGUGAGUAAUGCUUGGAUGACCUGCCCUCGAGACGGGGACAACAGUUCGAAAGGACUGCUAAUACCCGAUAGUCCGGUUUAGAUGCGUCUAGAUCGGUAAAUGGUGCUUCCGCUCGAGGAGGGGUUCAAGUCCUAUCAGCUUGUUGGUGAGGUAACGGCUCACCAAGGCGAUGACGGGUAGCCGGACUGAGAGGUUGGCCGGCCACAUGGGAACUGAGACACUGUCCUGACUCCUACGGGAGGCUGCAGUCGAGAAUCUUCCGCAAUGGGCGAAAGCCUGACGGAGCGACGCCGCGUGGAGGAUGAAGGCCUG